This 164-nucleotide long non-coding RNA is filed under the name Ixodes scapularis (black-legged tick). Its description in RNAcentral is "uncharacterized LOC121834665". The record is from RNAcentral. Lineage: Eukaryota; Metazoa; Arthropoda; Arachnida; Ixodida; Ixodidae.
AAGGCCGACGACGCAACAGAACGAGCAACUCAACGCAGUUGUGUGGUUGCACCUGUGUGGGCGAGGUAAAUCCACUAUGAAAAGACCCUGAAGUGACGCCUUCAGGAUGCCGAAAAUAAUUAUGACUACAUGUGCUCCCAGUACAAGGGGGUGGCCCUCCAGGC